Molecule: long non-coding RNA, 698 nt
Organism: Cucumis melo (muskmelon)
Lineage: Eukaryota; Viridiplantae; Streptophyta; Magnoliopsida; Cucurbitales; Cucurbitaceae
Exons: 2
Source: RefSeq, a predicted model, not a curated record
GGGAUCAUUACUAAUUUAAUUAUGUUUAAAAGCAAGCAGUUUCUGUAUGGUUAGUAAGAGACCACUACUACUUGUUGUGAUCCUAUAGGAAUACACAUUGAUCAUAAAGGGAACCUAAAGAUACAUUUACUAGUCAAUCAAUUAUCAAUGUCAAUCUAAAGGUGGUGAUGCCGAGGGACAUCGUACAUGCAAGGUUAAUGUGUGAAGAACAAAAAAGGAGAAAAAUUGAGAGAGGGGCAGCCGACAGUCAAACACGAAGAGAAAGAGAGAGAGUUCCGACAGUGCUCCUUGUUCGACGUUCAAAGAGAAGCUUGAUGGUGCCAUUCUUCGGUCAUCACAACGACGGGCAGCGUUGGCGUGGGUUGGGCAGAGUUUGGGCAUCAAUUUUUUGGGGGGUUUUGGGUCACGCUUGACAGGUAGUGACGACACACUUCGAUGGCUCGUGCAACAUUAUUUUUUGGACAGUUUGAGUACCGUUUUGGGUCAGUUCGAGGGGUUUGGGUCUCAUUUCAGGGGGUAUCCACGGGUAUCUCAUAUCCUUAGCAUUUGGGUUGACGGUAUAGUUGGAUUUGCUUGUUUUAAUUACAGAUUAUUGAUCUUGUUGAUUUUUGUAAUUGUUUCUUGAAUUUUGUUCUCAAUAAAAUCUUUCCAAGCUGGUUCUCAAAGUGGGUGUAGACCAAAUUGGUCGAACCACUAUA